GGCUGUGCAAGAGUGCAAUGCUGCCUGAAAUAUAUAGAGACUCUUUAAAAUAUAAUGUACUACAUGUCAAUGGCUAGUUGUGAGGAUGAAAAUGUUUUCUAUUUGUGGGCCCAAAAUCCAUCAGGGUAUUGCAACUCCACAUGAGAGAGUGACCGCUCUUUUUCCAGGAAUCCUGCCACAUUUCUAAGGAAAUGAAAUGGGGAAGGUUUGGCCCACUAUUUCUGGAAAUUGUUCCUGCAGUCAACCCAGAACCCAACCCAGCUGACACAGUCAGCUUCAGAAACUGUGGUAACUGUUGCGUUUGAAGGCUCUGUGGACUCUCCAGCUGAGACCUCCCAGGCACAUACAUUCAUAUCUCAGAGUUAAAAUUUAAUUUGUUUUGGCUAAACAGCCUCUAAAUCUUUUCUUCCUCCAGAUGGUAGGGUUUGUGUAAUUAAGCAUUUGGAAAUGUUGGCAUAAAUAACCACGCCCCUUUUGGAGUACUUUCAAAACAAAUACAGGGUAAAUGUGGAUAGGGUGAUCCAGAGUCAUUGUUCUUCUGGGAAAGGGUAGAUUUUUUUGUUUGUUUGUUUGUUUUGUUUGCUCCUUUAACAUGUAAAAACCCAGGCAGGUCUCCAUGGUAGUUUCAGUCAAGCUUAGCACUGGUGUUCAUGAAGGACGCUCACAUUAUCUUCUAUGCAGCAAUGGCAAUCUUUAGCAAAGCCUCUAGAGUUGGGUAAGAUUGGAACAAGAAUGCAGACGAAGAGGGUUGUCAUGAAGAGCAAGUCCCCAAGCAGUGUUAAGGGAGGAAAUGGAUUUCUUGAAGUGUGGUCCUAAAUAUUUGGCUGCUUUAGAGCUACCUCUCCCAUCCAAGCCAGAAAGGCAAGAAUGCAAACCUUCUUGAGUUUUGUUCUGGGUUCAUUUCUGCUGUGGUGGCUGGGUUAUGCUCUUCUGAAGAAUUUUUCUUUCUCAGUUCAGGUCGCUGAUGUUGGUUGUUUCGAUUGCUGAUAGGCUUUUUGUAAGGCUUAUCAGAUUUUUACGUGCCCUUUAACUAUUGUAUAUGGCAUUUUUAUAUUUGGGAAGCAUGAAAUGUAAUACCAAAAGGCUGAGCUUCAUUUGUUAUCCAUGGUUUGUCUAUGAAAUGGAAUUGAGAAC
This 1134-nucleotide long non-coding RNA is filed under the name Cairina moschata (Muscovy duck). RNAcentral's name for it is "domestica (muscovy Duck (domestic type)) lncRNA (ENSCMMG00000004953.1)". The record is from RNAcentral. Lineage: Eukaryota; Metazoa; Chordata; Aves; Anseriformes; Anatidae.